Eriocheir sinensis (Chinese mitten crab) is the source of this 16852-nucleotide RNA transcript. RefSeq lists it as uncharacterized. Lineage: Eukaryota; Metazoa; Arthropoda; Malacostraca; Decapoda; Varunidae. The transcript is spliced from 10 exons. The record is from RefSeq and is a predicted model, not a curated record.
GAUACAGAUAGAUAAAUAGAACAGGUAUUAUGAUUUGUACCUUUUUUUCAACUUAAUAGAUUUCUGAACUUACUAGGCUUAUGAUUUUAUGCAGGGUCGAUAUCAUAAUUCCUAUAUAAGCUUUGGGUACUCAAUAUUCAAAAAGGGUAAGAUUGCAAUGGGGUGUAAUCUUUAAAGUACUUAUAUAUUUACUAACUUUUUAUUGGCAUUAUACAUCAUAUAUUUAAGUAUCCUAAAUUGUCUAAUGCAUGUCUUCUUUUCCAGAGUUUCCUUCCAUUAGGCUGCUUUUAUACGAGUGAUUUCCGCUGCCACAGUAAAGAGGGUCGCAUUACAAGAGAGUUCGUUGCCCAAGAACACAUAUUUGACAAGGCUUUCGUAUGAGUUGUGGGCAUUUCCAGGAGUAGUUUUAUGACCCUGGUGGUAUUUUGAACUCUUUUCCGUACCGUGAACCUGAAGAAACACUCAUUAGAACAUAAUCUGAUCACAAAUGCUUUGAUAUAUAUUAUGAAAUGGUUUGUGUGAGGGGUGAUUUUUUCUCAUUUUUCUCACUUAGAGGGACCAUUAAGAAACAUGAUCCCCGCUGCUGCUGGGUUAAACUGGGCGGCAGAAACCACUCACAUGAAAGCAACCUAAAUCUUAUCUGUGGUACUAGUUAGACUUGGGUUUGACAAGGGAUGCCAUUCUGUACGCUAAGGUAUAGUACACAACCCUCAAUUUCCACGAUAUUGGAUUUCCCGGACAAAAUCUGGGGUCCAGCAAUUGUCAGACAUAUGCCUUCUCAAAUCCAGGACCUGAAAUAGAAUCCAGGUAAAAAAUCUGUGGCGGUGGCUGAGUGGUAGCGUGCUGGGCCCACAUUCAGCACGUGAUGGCCGACGUGGGUUCGAAUCCCCAUGCUACCACCUCGGAUUUUUCAGUCACCGCCGAGUGGCUUAACCCGUGUGUGUCAGGUGGCGGGAGUUCCCACCAUCCGACCACCGUUGCCAGAUUGUCGUACUCAGAGCAUAGUAUUUACCGGUUUCUGACGCCUAACUAUCGCCAAGAAACAUCAGGAAUUAAGUAUUUUAACGAUAAUCAUAAGUGAAUCUCCUUAUUGGGGUUCACGAGACAGUUUUGGGGUCGGAAGUCGGUAAAUAUAAGAGGCUGAGUAAGACAAUCUGGCAACUUUGCAUCCGACGCGCUUGACUUGGCCAAAAAUAGCACCUCUUCCCAACAUCAUGUCUCUGCCGUGCUGCAACCUAGACACUUCAAAUUUAUUUCAUCGUGGAGAGGAAGGAUUGGCGAUGAAAAAAUGGUAUAAAUUAUUAUGUUUUCUUUUGAAAUUGCCACACGGGGCAUUGAUGAAAGAUACUUAUUUUUCAAAAUUUAUCAACACCGCCCGUGUGCUGCGAGGACGACAAUAGUCCUCUAGCCCGACGUUUAUGGCUUAAAACUACCCACAUGCUGUCCUGAAGACCACCCGUCAACCUGGACUCUAGAGGAAACCAUCCAAGUGAAUCAAGAACGAGUUCCGGGGGGCAGCAUGAGCCAAGAGAAGAUGAACAUAAGAACAUAAGAACGCAGGAGUCUGCAAGAGGCCGGUAGGCCUGUACGAGGCAGCUCCUUUGACCCUAAGCUCCCGUGUAUCUAGCCCCACCUAAUAUCGCUGUCCAUGAAUUUAUCUAGUCUAUUUUUGAAUGUGACAAUUGUAUUGGCACUCACCACAUGACUGCUAAGCCUAUUCCACUCAUCCACCACCCUGUUAGUAAACCAAUUUUUGCCUAUGUCCCUGUUGAAUCUGAAUUUAUCCAGUUUAAACCCAUUACUUCGUGUCCUACCCGGUUCUCUUACCAACAAAACCUUAUGAAUGUCUCCCUUAUUAAAGCCCUUCAUCCAUUUAUAAACCUCGAUCAUGUCUCCACGCACCGUUCGCCUUUCUAGAGAAUGCAAGUUUAACUGUUUGAGUCUUCCCUCGUAUGGCAAGUUUCUCAACCCCUGAAUCAUCUUAGUCAUUCUCCUCUGCACCGAUGGCGCCACUAUAAACACUUGCCUGUGCCAUGAUGGGCUGGGGCCGACUACCAUCCAGGCCCCUCAAGCAAGCCUACCGGUGCUAUAGGCAUAGACGAAAAAAAAGAAAAAAAAUUGCAAUGCAAGUUUUCUGAUAAUUUGUUUUAGUUAGUCUCUUAGAUGUGCUUAACAAAGUGUGGAGAAAGUCCGGGGCAGGUACUGGAUACUGGUGAUUACCAGACUGAGUUUUGUAAAUGUCUGAGUGGGCCGACAGGACCCCAAACUGUAGCGAUUUCAGAUUCUCAGACUUUUGUGGUUCCAGGACUGGUGCUCUCCCCCAAUAGCGUGGGAAAUUGAGGGUUGAGUGUAAUGUAAUCUUCAAUAUUCUGUAGUAAUAUCAUUCCUAACCGAGGCAUUGCUACACAGACUGGCACUUUAUUCAGACAAAAUAUCAGCGAAUUUGCCAAAUUGCUUACGUACUGUAAUUACAAUGGGAGGUUUUUACAAAAUAAUUUAUUUUCAAGCUCAGUCUAUUAAGGAAAUAUUAAGCCACUUCUAAAAGUGCAGGUGCUGUACUACUUUAUCAGUACUAGGUACAUAUAUUGGGGGCAAUAAUUUUUACAAAAUCAAAACUGAUUGCACUGCAUAUUUGUACCAUUAGUACAUUAACAACCACAUACAGCAAGGACAGUGAAGUACACCGGGUAUUUGAUAUAUGCGAGAUCGAAAUAUGCGAAUUCACUCAUAUGCAACUAACCUAAAUGUGCCAAGUAUUCGUUUUAUGCGAGAAAAAUUGGCUCUUAUGUGAGUAUCUGCGCUGGUGUGACUGGUUGGUGAGGUAUGGUGACACACUAGAGGGCGGCGGGUGCAAAUGUUUUCCCGCACUUUCCUCGCCUGUAAUUAACCUUUUCCUUCCUCUGAUCCUAAAGUUAAUCCUCAGGUAGCCAAUUAUCAGCCUAAAUCCUAGACUUUGGGUGUGUCUCCCCGGAAGCAAUCAGCAGCUCUAUUUUACAGUUAUCUCUACUAAUGUGCUUUAUUGUUGCUUUAGUGCUUUAUUAUUGUGAAAUGGUGCUGGAAUAAACUGUUAGAGGGUUCAAAAAUGGGUCGUGGAACAUAACCCGCUAUCAUUAACCCGUUCGUGGUCAACCAUGUCACCUGAUGUGUUAAUGUUGCUACUCCCUCUGGUCAACCACUUCAUAUGACGUUUUAUCAUUUUCUUUUUCCCACGUGAAUGAAAUGCCUCUAGCGGUUUAUAAUUACGUUUAUUGAAGUGUCAGGCAUCUUUUCUCAAGUGAUGGCUUCAUGCAUGGCAGUUUUAUUGGUUCAGAGCAUGCCUGUACAGUAUGGCACGUAGAUGUCGACUCGGCGCUCUCACUGAUGAGCAAAUUCAGCUUCAUUUCAGUGAAGAGGAGGGUGAUACUGACAGUGAAUCUACAAUAGAUGAUAGUGAUAAAGAUGAAGAUUAUGUUUUUCAAGAAAGUGAAGAAGCCAAUCAGCAAGUGGAUCUGAAUCUUAUCCAGCAGACACAGCAGCAGCUGACUACUCCUCAAACAUAUGCUCUGGACCAUCACCUACUCAACUAUCUUCUCCACCUCCUUCCACCUCAAGGAGUUUGGCAAGACGUCGGAGUUCACUGAGCGAAGAUGAAAGCAAUGCGUCUCGUCCAAGAGUGACUCCCCCACCCGCCCAUGGUCUCACUCCAGCCAGACAGACACCUUCCCGCCGAUCCUGUAGGUCACCUGUUAUGCCACAUCUCCUUUUUAUGUUUCCUGUUCAGAAUUACUUGCCUAUUUUGAGACUAAUUGUGUUCUUAUAGCCUAGUCACACUAUCACAAGAAUGUAGUGUUGUACAAAAGGAAACAAUUGUUAUGCCACAUUUCCUUGUUAUGUUUCCCGUUCAUAAUUACUGUUUUGAGACUAGUUGUGUUCUUAUAGGGAUACAGUAUCACAAGAAUGUAGUGUUGUACAAAAGAAAAACAACUGUUAUGCCACAUUUCCUUGUUAUGUUUCCCAUUCAUAAUUACUGUUUUGAGACUAGUUGUGUUCUUAUAGGGAUACAGUAUCACAAGAAUGUAGUGUUGUACAAAAGAAAAACAAUUGUUAGAGGAAGAGUUGAAAAUAAUAUCUCGGAGAUUAUGUCUGGCAGCGCUGCGCCACAGCUGCCAGGUAAAUGCCGGCGGGGCAUUUAAAAAAAGGUAAGGAGAAAAUUUCCAUGUUAUUUUCUUUAUGUGGAGAUAUUUAUGGGUUCAUUAUGCCAAAAAUUUUGUUUUCCAUUUUUCGUGACCAGGGGGAGUACACACAUUGUAACAUAGGUAACCACGAAUGGGUUAAUAGGAAGAUAGGUUCGAUAUACGCGGAUUCAUAUUAUGUGAGCUUUAUGCAGAACGUAACACUCACAUAUAAUGAAUACCUGGUGUACUACAUAUAUUAGGGCGCAAUAAUUUUUACAAAGUCGAAACUGAUUGCACUGCAUAUUUGUACCAUUAGUACAUUAACAACCACAUACAGCAAGGACAGUGAACUACUUCUGAACAUUAUCUAAACUAGGUACAUGUAACAUAUGAAUAAGUUAAACAAGCUGGAUAAGGACACACCCACUAGCUAGUCUAUAAACUUUGCACAGUCAACAAUUAACAUGUAAAGGAGAAUGUAAAAUAUAGUGUUUAACCGUGUAGCAGCGACGGGCCAAAUUUGUGGUUUUACCGUGUAGCAGCGACAAGCCAAAUUUGUGGGUUCACCGUGUAGCAGCGACGGGCCAAAUUUGUGGCUUUACUGUGUAGCAGCGACGGGCCAAAUUUGUGGUUUUACCGUGUAGCAGCGACGGGCCAAAUUUGUGGCUUUACCGUGUAGCAGCGACGGGCCAAAUUUGUGGCUUCACCGUGUAGCAGCGAUGGGCCAAAUUUGUGGCUUUACCGUGUAGCAGCGACGGGCCAAAUUUGUGGCUUUACCGUGUAGCAGUGAUGGGCCAAAUUUGUGGCUUUACCGUGUAGCAGUGAUGGGCCAAAUUUGUGGCUUUACCGUGUAGCAGUGACGGGCCAAAUUUGUGGUUUUACCGUGUAGCAGCGACGGGCCAAAUUUGUGGCUUCACCGUGUAGCAGUGAUGGGCCAAAUUUGUGGCUUUACCGUGUAGCAGCGACGGGCCAAAUUUGUGCCAUGAUUUUAACCCCCCAAAAUAGAUGAUACAUAAACUGAUCACAAAUGCUUUGAUAUAUAUUAUGAAAUGGUUUGUGUGAGGGGUGAUUUUUUCUCAUUUUUCUCACUUGGAGGGACCAUUAAGAAACAUGAUCCCUGCUGCUACCGGGUUAAAUACAAAAUUUUUUACAGCAAGGCGUUACUUAAUAGCGAAAUUCAUAAAUCUUUAUCAUACAAAAAUAUACAACCUGCAUCUUCAUAAACCAAUCUAGUUAAAAUUUUCCUCUUGAUACAUUCAGUGGAGGGCAAGGGGGCAUGUCAGUGUAUUUACAGUGAGACAAAACAUACAAACAAAAUAUUGGUUAAGUUGAAGUAUUGGGGUUAACAAACUGAGCCAUGAAUCCACGGGCUCGGGUUAAAUCCUCAUGUAAUAGAAAUUUGGAGAUGCAUGAUUGAACCAGGGCUCUUUAGUAUAAGGAGGAGAGAAAGUGUGUGGAAUGUGUCCCUCCAUCCCACAUACAGUCACUUUCAUAAUGCACUUAACACACAGUUAGGGAUCUCGUAUAUGGAAGAAGUAAUCAUUCCACAUGAAACCAGAAAAGUAAUGUACAGGUAACUCUCGAUUUAUGCGAGUUUGGUUUACGCGUUUUUGAAAUAAUGCGGGGUCCAAAAUCCAAAUAAAUGUUUAAUUUACAUGUUUUUUUUUUUACUUAUAUGUGAUAUUUUAUGGAGUGGCCACCAGAUGUCUCACGCAACUGGACUCACACGGCCACACAGCUGAGCCCAGUUCUUCCCACGCGCCACUUGAACAACAAUACAGUACCCACGCUGCCACGCUACUCAACAACAACAACACCCUCGCUGCUGUGCUACCACGAGGGGAAGGGCAGCCAGAGGAGGAACCACGAGAGGGAGAGGAGUCAGAGUGAUACAGUAGGCAAUAAAGGUACAAACCUACCUCUUGUUUGAUUUACAUUGUUUUUGAUUUACGCGACCUCUUCAAGGACACAAUACUCGCAUAAAUCGAGAGUUACCUGUAUAAUUACACCUACAGCCAUAACCAAGGCUGCUGAUGAGUCAUAUAACUACACCUGCAGUUUAAGGGUUAAUGCCAGAAGCAGUACAAUUUGUUGGUCUCCCAGCUCGUGUGCACAAUGCUUGUCUAUAUAUUCUAGCAUCUCCGAUUAUUCUAUGUCAGCCUGGGGAUUUAGGAUGUCCACCCAGGACUGAGAUGAUCACCAAGACCACCAGCAGUUUGGCAGACGCCCCCAACUUUGCCUUGUACCAAAUUAUAAACUCAUACAAUAUAUUUAUCUUGUGGAAAUAUUUUUAUUGCAUAGAGUGAAGUGCAACUAUUAUGCAGUGUUAUAUUUCACCUGAAUACAUAUUCUUUGGACAGCUUAAAUGUGCAAGAACUGCUUCAGCAAGGUUAGACCUUCUAUAAUGAAUGCAUGUAUUAUCCUCAACACUUUCAACAACAGCUGAAAAUCUAUGAAUAUUAUACAGUCUUUUGAUAUUCUAGGCACAAAAUGGAUAUGGCUAUAUAAAUUUCUGUAAGUCAGUAGCACAAACUUAAGCUUACAUUUUUUAGUGCAAAUUAUAUAUACAUACAGUCAAACCUUGGUUUAUGAGUGUUUUGAUUUAAGGGAGGCGACUAUGGGGUAUUUUUUGACGAAUAUAUUUAAAAUCGGACGAGUACAUGUUUUUCGCUCGGCGUGGCCGGGAAACCCUAAAUUACCAUGUGGUGAGGUUUGUUUUCGUAAAAUUAAAACCCCUCCCCCCUGGGGGGGACAUGAACGUCUUAUGACGUGCAUGUCAACAUAUGCGGUAUCAUUCGUAUAGACGUAAAAAUUGCAUUAGAAUAUUUUAUUUCUUCGUAAAUUUUAUCAUCUGUCAUCCUCUCUUCUUCGCGCAGAGAGGCAGGGGAGGAAGAGAGGUGCCACGGCGCCAGUGGCAAGCGAGACACAGACGGGAAGAGUGUGUCGUACUUUUCUCUCCUCUCCAGCCAAAAAAACGUCCUUACAAAUGAUGUACAAGCACAAGGCAACCAGAAAAAGAGUCACCAACAUCAAGAGGGUUUAUGGAGCGGCCAAACCUCAGAAAACAAGCAAGAGAGUAGCGUAGAAGCAAGGCACUCCCACGAGGCACUCCCGCGGCACUCGCGCUACGUGUGAGUGCCGCGGGCCCAGAUGCCUGAUCAUUCUCCAGUAAGUCAGAAAGAUGUACACAAUAAUAUGUGAAAAUUUCAUGCCAAUCAAAUAAAUGCAAAUGGCAAGACAAGAAUGAAAUGUAAAAAUAUCUUUAGGAGCCAAUAUCUCGAAAAUUAGUUUUUUAAACUUAAAAUAAUUUCACAAAAUCGGUAAAAAGUCAAAGGGAAAUUUUUUGUUGGAAAUAGAUUUUCAAUAAUGUCAAAAGAAAACGGGACACAGAGAGAAAAUAAUAAUAAUUGACAAAAGAUUGUAACUUUUUUUCUUCGAAGACAAAACAAAAAAUUAUAAAGUUACUUCCAACAAAAUGUAGAUAGGUAAGCAAAGUUUCUAUGGUAUUUUUUCAAACCAAUUAGCUGAAAAAUAAAGCCUGUGAAACAAAGAAACGAAAAAUACGCUUUGUUUGAGUCUCUCCAAAACUUCACCUGAAUUUGAUGAACUUCACAGAGUAACACCUUUACACCAACAAACAACAUACUAAGAUUUCAAAGCUAUUGGACGUACCAUAUGCGCAGGAGGGCCCCCUGUAGUCGCCUCCCUCAAGAGCAAAAUCCCAUAAAAACUGCCUUGGUUUACGAGCGGUGACUUGGUAUAUGAGCAUCCUGUUUGCUCCCUUGCUUUAUAUUUUCGCCAGCCCCUGGGUUGGGACACGGGCUAUAUGGAGGCCGUCAUGGUCAAGUGCGUAUGUCCCUUCGAGGAGGGAUCACAAACCCUUGCCGGAUGAUGGCUCAUGAAGGGGAGGGGAGGAUGCCGAUAGGCCGACUCUAUCGGCUUACGUCAGCCUAGCCCGCGGUUGUGGGAGUCUCCGUAAGAGCCGCAGCACAUUGAUUUGUGUUUUGUAUUAUUUAUCAUUGCACUUUGUUAGUAAAAAUUACAUUCUGUAAAAAAUAACAUGUGAAAUGAUUUUUAUAUAAUUUUUUUUUUUGAGACAGGGGACGCAUUAAUGGGAUUGACAUUAAUUACAACGGGGAAACUCGUUUUGGCUUAUGAAUGUUUUGGCGUGCGAGCAAAAUUCCAGAACGAAUUAAACUCGUAAACCGAAGCUUGACUGUAUGUAUAUAUAUAUUAAGUAAGAGGGAGUUCCAGGCUCUGAAAAGACAGCAAAAGAAGAAACAUGAUAUCCUCAGUCCCUCAGUAAGAGGACAUUAUAAACUAUUAAAUACAAAUACCUAUGCAUUAGUAAGCAGAAACUCUUAAGCCUUCAGCAGCUCUUCCAGCUUAAGGGCACACCUACUGUACAAUUCUCACUCCAUGGAAUAUUUUCACUUGCAACAUAAAGGCGCUUAUCAAGAAGUGCUGUACUAGGUCCUAUGCAGCUUUUUUCAUUAGGCUUCCCUUAUCCUUAUGACCUUAACCCGGUAGCAGCAACGGGACAAAUUUGUGGCUUAACCGUGUAGCAGUGAUGGGCCAAAUUUGUGGCUUAACCGUGUAGCAGUGACAGGCCAAAUUUGUGGCUUAACCGUGUAGCAGUGACGGGCCAAAUUUGUGGCUUAACCGUGUAGCAGCGACGUGCCAAAUUUGUGGCUUAACCGUGUAGCAGUGAUGGGCCAAAUUUGUGGCUUAACCGUGUAGCAGCGACGGGCCAAAUUUGUGGCUUAACCGUGUAGCAGUGAUGGGCCAAAUUUGUGGCUUAACCGUGUAGCAGUGACGGGCCAAAUUUGUGGCUUAACCGUGUAGCAGCGACGGGCCAAAUUUGUGCCAUGAUAUAAACCCCCAAAAAUAGAUGAUACAUAAACUGAUCACAAAUGCUUUGAUAUAUAUUAUGAAAUGGUUUGUGUGAGGGGUGAUUUUUUCUCAUUUUUCUCGCUUAGAGGGACCAUUAAGAAACAUGAUCCCCGCUGCUACCGGGUUAACUCUGCUAAGGUCUCAUGGUACACUAUUUUGACGCGGAACCUGCGCAAAACAAGUUUUUACAGGCGACUUGUUUUUUUUCAGUGUUCAAAUAGUUUUUUUUUCAGAAUAGUUUCAUUAUCUCCUAAUACCUUAUAAAAUGAUGUUUGAAGUGUAGGAUGCAAGAAACUGGACUCCUCUAGAUACAGGUAACUCUCGAUUUACGCAAGUUUGGUUUACGCGUUUUUGAAAUAACGCGGGGUCCAAAAUCCAAAUGAAUGUUUAAGUUACACGUUUUUUUCACUUAUACGCGAUAUUUUAUGGAGUGGCCACCAGAUGUCUCACGCAACUGGACUCACACGGCGCCGCGGCCACACAGCUGAGCUCAGUUCUUCCCGCGCGCCACUUGAACAACAAUACAGUACCCACGCUGCCACGCUACUCAACAACAACAACACCCUCGCUGCUGUGCUACCACGAGGGGAAGGGCAGCCAGAGGAGGAACCACAAGAGGGAGAGGAGUCAGAGUGAUACAGUAGGCAAUAAAGGCAUGCACACUGUUGGCCCCGAGGAUGUGAUAUUGCCUCGGCCAGCACCAAGAGACAGCACCGUACACACGAACACCACCUACUUGCUCACGGCCGCCGCAGCCAACUACAAGGUUGAGGAGGACGAGUCGCUACAGUACUGCCAAGAGUUGCUGGCCUGUGGGAGGAAGCUGCAGGAAGCCCGCUACUCCGAGGUGCUCCAGAGACGCCGAAUUGCUGUGAGGGCGAAAGUGAAGACCAGGCAGGACAUGCUUCAUGUGAUGGAAGACACUUCUGGUGCAGUACUGAGCCCGGAGAAGUCAUCCCUAGAUGAGUCGGUGCGGGAGUUAGUUCGCCGUGGCUUCCUUAGUGACCCGGAAGAGAUGCUGUACAGAUAUGGAGAGCUGGAUGACUUCUGGAAGGAGAGAUACGAUGACAGGCGUGACGGGUGGCGGCAGAUGGGUGACCUACCUCAAUUUAGUCCCUUCAAGGUGCCCAGACUGGUCAGAGUGCAACAUAUACCAAUCCUCACCUGGCUGGACUUGGGACCUCGAGAACAUCAUUGGUACCCAGACUACUCAUUCCUGCAGCGCGCCGUGACAGUGGUGGCAACCAAUGAGCAUUUACAGCAGAGACUAACCAAAGAGCUGGCCCAGUACCGCGGCCUUCUUGACCACCUCACACGGAACACACCCCUCCAGUUCUUCCUCCAAGACAGGGAAGACCUGCUUGAUCGUCAGUACAGUGAGGCAGUGGAGGAGCAAGUGAAGCAGCAGCAACACGACAGUUUUCUAAGCAAGCUUGAGUCCAGUCAGUGUCGCGUCUCCAGCCACCACCUUGCUGGUGUCACUGUUCUAAGGCAACUCCCAGAAAGUUUUAAUAAUGUAUGUUUUUGCCUUGCUUUGUGUGCCUUUAUGUUGGACAUUCAUGCGUAUGAUCUGGCUCUAAAACUGGCUCUUAAGGAGUUCUGUGAACUACGGGGCUAUUAUCUCUUCAGGAACAGGAUCAUAAAAUUGUUCAGAAAGAAUAGGAGAGAUGUACUGAAGCUUUUGAGAGAAAGUAAGAGUUUUAACUUUGGAUUUAUUGAUCUAACUGACACUAUGAGCCCCAGUACCAUUCCUGGACCCCAAGACACCAAGAGUGAACCAGCCUGCAAUAAGCAGUUUGACUCUCUGAAUGCAUGCAGGCAAUGCACCAACACAGCAGCUCGUCAGACUCAAGAGGGCAAAAAACAACUUGUCCCAGAUGAGAAACAUGUGGCCAUAGAGCAAGGCAACAUCUUCUGCUGCCAAGAUAUGACCUAUGGUCACCCUAAACAUAGAGCUGCACCUUGGCACCAUCGUGGAGGCAUGGGAAAUGAAAUCAGUGUUAAGUAUCUUGACAGGAAAAAUUAUUGUUACAAAAAGGUGGUUGAUCUUGAGGAAGAAAAUCUUUCUAGAGCACUUCAAACCCAAAAGACCGAUUCUCUGGUGAAGCACUGCAGAACUAGUGCCAAGUUUCCAGACCUCAUGAAGUACAAUAUGGACAGCAAGCAUUAUACAACUGGUGCUCUGUCCAAAACUCAUACAAAUGGCCCUCUUCAUGAACACCAUAGGAAUAGCACUGUGUCAGGACUCUUCAGUACUGAGCAUCACAAAAACUACAUUAUAUCAGAGUACAAUAUGGACAGCAAGCAUCAUGGUGCAGAAUCUGAGCACCACCAGAAAUCUGAGGCUGCACAACAUGGCUCUACAUCUAGGGACAACAUAGCCAAGCCAGAACAUUCCAGCUCUUCCCCACAUUGCCUUGGCAUAAGACAGGGACACUUAGACAGUAGUAAUACUUGGAACAGCAGCCAUGACAGUAUGAGCAGGAGCGAUAGAGUCUUCAUUGAUAAUAUUAAUAAUGAGGGGAAGAAAUAUGAAACACCUAGUUGUGAGAGUAGAGUUAAAGCCUUUGACAAUGAGAGUGAAGGUGACAUGUUAGUCCCCAGUUGUAAGAGUAAAGGGCACAGUAUUAGCAUCCUUACGAAUGACAAUGUAAGUGGACUUUUUAAUGCCAUCUGUGGUAGGAAUGGAAGCAGGGAUGAUGGACUAGGUGGUCAAAGAAGUGGAGAAUGUUACAAGAGACAUUCUGGCGAGAGCAAUGAGAGUGGAGCUAACAGCGUUCUCAAAAAUAGUGGACUUUUUAAUGCCAUCUGUGGUAGCAAUGGAAGCAAGGAUGAUGGACUCUGUGGUCAAAGCAGUGGAGAAUGUUACAAGAGACAUUCUGGCGAGAGCAAUGAGAGUGGAGCUAACAGCGUUCUCAAAAAUAGUGGACUUUUUAAUGCCAUCUGUGGUAGGAAUAGGAGUGAAGGGUGCAAUUUCAUCGAACACAGUGGCGACGACAAAAAUGAAAAUCGUGACGUUCUGAUCUUUAAUAAGGAAAAUGACGAAAUAGUCUUUACAGGUUGCAAUGAAGCAGAUGAGACGGUCAACGACAAAUAUGAAAAUAGUGACGUUCUGAUCUAUAACAAUAAAAAUGAUGAUGAAAUAGUCUUUACAGGUUGCAAUGAAGCAGAUGAGACAGUCUUUAAAAGCAACGAACAUGACAGAGGUGAAUGCAGUAACGUUAACUUUAGCAAUCAGAGUGACAGAGUACCCCUUGAUUGCAGUGAAAAGGGUGAUGGAACUCUCAAUAACAGUGAAAAUCAGAGUGACAAGGCUCUUAAUGGUGAAACUGAGAGUGACAGCCUCCAUGAUUGCAGUGAAAAGGGUGAUAAAACUUCUCUUAAUGGUGAAGUUGAGAGUGACAGCCUCCAUGAUUGCAGUGAAAAGGGUGAUAAAACUCUCAAUAACAGUGAAAAUCAGAGUGACAAGGCUCUUAAUGGUGAAACUGAGAGUGACAGCCUCCAUGAUUGCAGUGAAAAUGGUGAUAAAACUCUCAAUAGCAGUGAAAAUCAGAGUGACAAGGCUCUUAAUGGUGAAGGUGAGAGUGACAGGAUCCAUGACUGCAGUGAAAAUGGUGACAAAACUCUCAAUAGCAGUGAAAAUCAGAGUGACAAGGCUCUUAAUGGUGAAACUGAGAGUGACAGGAUCCAUGACUGCAGUGAAAAUGGUGACAAAACUCUCAAUAACAGUGAAAAUCAGAGUGACAAGGCUCUUAAUGGUGAAGGUGAGAGUGACAGGCUCCUGGUUGGCGAUGACGCUGGUAACAUUGAUAGUGAAAUUAACAAGAAAAAUGGACCUGAUGAAAAAAAUGACAUUGUACACAGUGACGGCAGUGACGCGAACUUAGGUUACGGCAACUCUCAACUUAAUAACAGUGAUUCGGUUUUUAGUUCCGUCGACAGUGAUGAAGUUAACAAGGUUUUUGGUGGAAGCAGUGACGAACUUGCAACAACAGACAAUGGCGUUGAUAUGAAGGAUGUCCGAGGGGGUUUUGAAGAAGCCUCAAGUGAGCAAUAUGGGGACAAAGACAUGAUGCUAAAUACAAAUAACAGCGAUAGGAGUUCAGGGGGAAUCAAUAAACGGAGUAACAAAAACAACAUAGCCGAUACAAAAGGAAUUGAUAAUGUUCGUGAUAAGGGAUGUAAAUGUACUGGUAACUUUGGUGACUUUUCAAGCGACAUCAUAAGUUUUGACACAUCUCAUGACGAUGACACAAGUAUGUUACGAUCCAGUGAUGGGAUGGAAAUUCAUAACACUGCACCUUAUGAAGAAAGCAAUACUCAUACAGUGUCAGUCACAGUGAAUGAUUUAUCUGGAGAAAUGAAUGAAAGCCAAGAUGAAAACAACAUUCCAGAACGAAGAAAAAAAAAAAGCAAAACCAAAAUACCUAAGACGCAAGAACCCUCAUGGAACCCGGUUGAACUAGCCAAGCCUGAAGAGAACUUGAUAUCUUGGGGGACUUUACAGCCCAUUUACGGGAACCUUAACACGCUUUUAAAGAAGUGGGAUAACUACAGCUAUCUGGUUGGAGUGUUUCGCAGUACCUACAGAAGUGAGUGCGAAAGGUGGCGAGAGGUUGUAAAGAGAGCGCACAUGGACAUAUCAAGUACCUUCUCUAAGACCAGGAAGCAGAGAGAAGCCAGAGUACGCAGUGGAAAGUAUAAGCCUCCCUCUUUGAUGCCACAUAUAAAUACCUCCGUGAAGCGUCAAGGGAGGAAAGGUUCAUGUUCAACUAGACUGAGGUGGAUAACGAAUCAUGUUCACUGGCUGAUCAGGUACAAUAAGACUUUGAAUCUCCGGCACAACACUCUGAUCUACUGCCUCUUGAGCAUAGAGCAGGAAAGAACAGAUGCGUCAUCCCAACGAUAGAAGAUAAUGGAAAAAUAUCAUACGUAAGGAAUCUAUUAUCGGCACAGGUUCCUCUAAUACGGGUAACUCGAUUUACGCGAGUAUUGUGUCCUUGAAGAGGUCAUUGCGUUAAUCAAAAACAAUGUAAAUCAAACAAGAGGUAGGUUUGUACCUUUAUUGCCUACUGUAUCACUCUGACUCCUCUCCCUCUCGUGGUUCCUCCUCUGGCUGCCCUUCCCCUCGUGGUAGCACAGCAGCGAGGGUGUUGUUGUUGUUGAGUAGCGUGGCAGCGUGGGUACUGUAUUGUUGUUCAAGUGGCGCGCGGGAAGAACUGAGCUCAGCUGUGUGGCCGCGGCGCCGUGUGAGUCCAGUUGCAUGAGAUAUCUGGUGGCCACUCCAUAAAAUAUCGCGUAGAAGUGUAAAAAACGUGCAAAUUAAACAUUUAUUUGGAUUUUGGACCACGCGUUAUUUUAAAAACGUGUAAACCAAACUCGCGUAAAUCGAGUUACCUGUAGAAGAUCAAGAGGAAUAAAAAAUAACCAAUCAAACAUGAGCGGAAAGAUCUGGAAGAGAAUAAAGAUGUAUUCAUCCAGUUCUCCACAAGUAACAAAAUAUCAGAGCUCCAAGUGCAUAGGUUUUAUACCCAGAAAUAAGCAAGAGAAGAUGGCGCCACUAUAAACACUUCCUUGCGCCAUGACGGGCUGGGGCCAAACACCAUCCAGGCCCCUCAAGCAGCCUUCCAGCGCUAUAGACGUACCCGUAAAAUAACAAAAACAAACAACAAAACAUAAAAACUUAUUUCCUAGUAAUGAAUAUUCAACAAACCAGUCUUGCAUACUAUUUGCUUUUAUUAAUUCUUAUUAUUUCUAUUGUAAAUGAGUGGAUAUGCCAGUGGGAGACUUCACUAAUUCUGUAAAAAAAAACAUUAUUAUUGGUUGAAAAGUGAGGUUAGUUGGCAUCUUCCUAGUAGUGAAUAUUCAACAAACCAGUCUUGCACAUUUUUUUUAUUAAUUCUUAUUAUUUCUAUUGUAAAUGAGUGGAUAUGCCAGUGGGAGACUUCACUCGUUCUGUAAAAAAACAUUCUUAGGGCCACUUUCAGAGUCAUUUUGUUUAUUUUGAUCGUUACCAAUGGCGGCGAUCGACGCUAUAGUUUUCCACGUGAAACUGGCCUAUGGGGUAGUGGCAGCUGCAGAGGAAGCGAGAGUUGUUGAGAGUGUGUGGCAAGGUGUGGGGCUUGGCUAACCCCGCAGCCGCCACUUCCCCAUCGGCCAGUUUGACGUGGAAAUUCCAAAGCGGGGAUCGUCGCCAUUGGUAACGAUCAGAACAAACAACGACAGUGAAAGCAUCUCUUAGUAGUUGAAAAGUGAGGGAAUUGGGAUCUUCCUCAUGUGUGUGUGUGUGUGUGUGUGUGUGUCCUAAUGAUAAUGAGGACCAAUUCACUCACAAGUUUCUCUCAUUUUUUUUCCCCAUCUCACUAUGAGUAAGGGGGCUUCGUGGUGCAGUGGUUAGCACACUCGGCUCACAAUCGAGAGAGCCCGGGUUCGAUUCCCAGGUGGAGUGGAAAAAUUUGGGCGGCUUUUCCGAUACCCUACGCCCCUGUCCACCCAGCAGUGAAUGGGUACCAGGUAUUAAUCGGGGGUUGUGUCCCGUCUCCUGGGGUCUGUUCCCUUCUCCUAUUAUUCCUUCCCCCUCCUGUCUCUCUCCAGCACCACCAUAAAACUAUCCCUGGAAAUGCCCCAAACACCUACGAAAGCCUUGUCAAAUACGUGAACUUGGGCGACGAAAUCUUUAGUAAUACGACCCUACGUUUUCAUCUAAAUUUUCCAUUCUUUUAUGAUUUUUUUAAUCAAAUUUACUAUCAAAAGACAUUAAAUUAUUGUAUCCAUUAAAUUCCUAGGUCCUCAUCAUCAUGGGCCAUUUGCUUUGUCCCAUUAGAGGAAUAUUAUUUUUUUAAGGCAUGUCAUGAUUAUGUUCAAACUGUAAGAUGCAUUUUCUUGUAAGGGAAGCACUUUUACUUAUUAUUUUUAAUGUCAUAUUUAUCCUCAUGUGCAUGUGUAGAAAAUAAGGUUAAAUGAUGAUUACAAUGCUGAAGUUGUGAGUACUAAUGUGACAUAUUGAGACAUAUCAGUUGAAUACACAGACUGAAUCAUGAGAACUUUGAAUUAUAUGUAUAUAGUAUAUGUAGUUUAUGAGUUACAACGUGAUGAAACUUACAACCGCUCACAUUUACAACCAGGCCAAUAAUAUUAAUAAUACUUGUUUAACCCAGUAGCAGCAACGGGCCAAAUUUGUGGCUUUACCGUGUAGCAGCGACGGGCCAAAUUUGUGGCUUGUGGUUAAGUAAUGAGUUGACACUGCAAUUAUCACACCAUGGAUAAAGAGCUAUUUAUUUACACAGUUCCCUUGCUUCCUACCAAGCUUCCCGCUAGUUCUAGCCACAGACUUGCAUACUAAACUGCACGCCAAGGCCCUGCAAGUGACACCUCUGGACCUGGGCCGACGGCUGUGGGUGUGCCCAGUUCAUCCCAAACCGACGACUUCACACACCUGACCCCACCAUUCAUUAUUAACUCGGUAGCAGCGGGGAUCAUGUUUCUUAAUGGUCCCUCCAAGCGAGAAAAUUGAGAAAAAAUUACCCCUCACACAAAACAUUUCAUAAUAUAUAUCAAAGCAUUCGUGAUCAGAUUAUGUAUCAUCUAUUUUUGGGGGGUUAUUUCAUGGCACAAAUUUGGCCCGUCGCUGCUACCGGGUUAAGAAAAACUGAGACCACCAUCGUCUUCCUGAAAAAAUUCUACAUCACACUAAAAUAAAUUUGUAACAUUUUCUUAAUAAUGAAUGGUGGGGUCAGGAAACCGGGGGGAGUGAGGUGUGUGAAGUCGUCAGUUUGGGAUGAACUGGGAAUAUAUAUAUAUAUAUA